This 460-nucleotide ribosomal RNA is filed under the name uncultured bacterium. RNAcentral's name for it is "partial 16S ribosomal RNA". It matches the Rfam family "Bacterial small subunit ribosomal RNA", at positions 338 to 795 of the family's 1533-position model. The record is from RNAcentral.
CCUACGGGAGGCAGCAGUGAGGAAUAUUGGUCAAUGGACGAGAGUCUGAACCAGCCAAGUAGCGUGAAGGAUGACUGCCCUAUGGGUUGUAAACUUCUUUUAUAUGGGAAUAAAAUGUUCCACGUGUGGGAUUUUGUAUGUACCAUAUGAAUAAGGAUCGGCUAACUCCGUGCCAGCAGCCGCGGUAAUACGGAGGAUCCGAGCGUUAUCCGGAUUUAUUGGGUUUAAAGGGAGCGUAGGUGGAUUGUUAAGUCAGUUGUGAAAGUUUGCGGCUCAACCGUAAAAUUGCAGUUGAAACUGGCAGUCUUGAGUGCAGUAGAGGUGGGCGGAAUGCGUGGUGUAGCGGUGAAAUGCUUAGAUAUCACGAAGAACUCCGAUUGCGAAGGCAGUUCACUGGACUGCAACUGACACUGAGGCUCGAAAGUGUGGGUAUCAAACAGGAUUAGAUACCCUUGUAGUC